UUAAAGGAAUUGACGGAAGGGCACCACCAGGAGUGGAGCCUGCGGCUUAAUUUGACUCAACACGGGAAAACUUACCCGGCCAGGACACCGGAAGGAUUGACAGAUUAAUAGCUCUUUCUUGAUUCGGUGGGUGGUGGUGCAUGGCCGUUCUUAGUUGGUGGAGUGAUUUGUCUGGUUAAUUCCGAUAACGAACGAGACUCUAGCCUACUAACUAGAUCCUCGAUCCGUGGUAUCGAGAUUGAUCUUCUUAGAGGGACAGGCGGCUUUUAGCCGCACGAAACGGAGCAAUAACAGGUCUGUGAUGCCCUUAGAUGUCCGGGGCCGCACGCGCGCUACACUGAAGGAAUCAACGUGUGUCUACCCUGGUCCGAAAGGACUGGGUAACCCGAUGAACCUCCUUCGUGAUAGGGAUAGGGGAUUGUAAUUCUUCCCCUUGAACGAGGAAUUCCCAGUAAGCGCGAGUCAUCAGCUCGCGUUGAUUACGUCCCUGCCCUUUGUACACACCGCCCGUCGCUACUACCGAUUGAAUGAUUUAGCAAGGCCUUCGGACUGGCUUUGAAAGCGCCUAAAAACGCUAUCGGAGCUGGAAAGAUGUCCAAACUUGAUCAUUUAGAGGAAGUAAAAGUCGUAACAAGGUUGCC
RNAcentral lists this ribosomal RNA (641 nucleotides) under Xenolpium sp. JM-2008. RNAcentral's name for it is "bacterial SSU rRNA". It matches the Rfam family "Eukaryotic small subunit ribosomal RNA", at positions 1144 to 1804 of the family's 1831-position model. The record is from RNAcentral. Lineage: Eukaryota; Metazoa; Arthropoda; Arachnida; Pseudoscorpiones; Olpiidae.